RNAcentral lists this long non-coding RNA (205 nucleotides) under Mytilus galloprovincialis (Mediterranean mussel). The record is from RNAcentral. Lineage: Eukaryota; Metazoa; Mollusca; Bivalvia; Mytilida; Mytilidae.
GUCCGGAACAUAUACAAUGUACUAUGUAUGCAUUUUAACCCGUCAGGGUUUCAUGUUUUGCAAUAAAGUUUAUGUAUUCAUAUUCAUAAGUUUACACCAUGUGGUGCUACUUUCUAUCCAUAACCUGGUGCCUUGUUUUUGCAAGAUUGAAUAUCACACCUAUGUGAAAGUAAUUAGUACUUUUAAAGCUAACUACCAAUAAGGU